GCUGGGUGUGGUGGCGCAUGCCUGUAAUCCCAACUACUCAGGAGGCUGAGGCAGGAGAAUCGCUUGAACCUGGGAGGUGGAGGUUGCAGUGAGCCGAGAUUGCGCCACUGUACUCCAGCCUGGGUGACAGAGCGAGACUCUGUCUCAA
RNAcentral lists this small RNA (148 nucleotides) under Macaca fascicularis (crab-eating macaque). Its description in RNAcentral is "Metazoan signal recognition particle RNA (ENSMFAG00000058617.1)". Lineage: Eukaryota; Metazoa; Chordata; Mammalia; Primates; Cercopithecidae. The record is from Rfam by way of RNAcentral.